RNAcentral lists this ribosomal RNA (301 nucleotides) under uncultured bacterium. RNAcentral's name for it is "partial 16S ribosomal RNA". It matches the Rfam family "Bacterial small subunit ribosomal RNA", at positions 509 to 808 of the family's 1533-position model. The record is from RNAcentral.
CAGUAGCCGCGGUAAAACGGAGGGUGCAAGCGUUAAUCGGAAUUACUGGGCGUAAAGCGCACGCAGGCGGUUUGUUAAGUCAGAUGUGAAAUCCCCGAGCUUAACUUGGGAACUGCAUUUGAAACUGGCAAGCUAGAGUCUUGUAGAGGGGGGUAGAAUUCCAGGUGUAGCGGUGAAAUGCGUAGAGAUCUGGAGGAAUACCGGUGGCGAAGGCGGCCCCCUGGACAAAGACUGACGCUCAGGUGCGAAAGCGUGGGGAGCAAACAGGAUUAGAUACCCUGUAGUCCCUGUCUCUUAUACA